AUACACACACACACACACUAUAUAUAUAUAUAUAUAUAUAUAUAUAUAUAUAUAGUGUGUGUGUGUGUGUAU
This is a non-coding RNA of Podarcis lilfordi (Lilford's wall lizard), 72 nucleotides long. NCBI's taxonomy places the organism in Eukaryota, Metazoa, Chordata, Lepidosauria, Squamata, Lacertidae. The record is from the annotation of a GenBank genome assembly.